This 203-nucleotide unclassified non-coding RNA is filed under the name Hevea brasiliensis (rubber tree). The record is from RNAcentral. Lineage: Eukaryota; Viridiplantae; Streptophyta; Magnoliopsida; Malpighiales; Euphorbiaceae.
GGAAGAGAGAGAUAGAGGAAAAGAGAGAGGGGGAGAGACAUAAAUGGGAGAGAGAGAGGGAGAGAGACAAGGGGGAGACAUACGAAGAGAUGGAGAGAAACUGUAAAUAAUUGUAAUAACUAGGGAUUAAAUAGUAAUUUAUUAUUAAAUACUAACGGCCAAAAUGGACAUGAAGACUUGAGUGUGUAACGGAAGCAAAACUG